UCUUUUCCUUCUUCUCUUGGCCUUAAGCACCACCGCCUGCCAUCGGUUUCAUUGGAAAUCCAAUAAAAAAAAAUCCCCUGUUUCAUCUAUAUUUUGGCUGAUUUUUGUUCUUUUGUAUGGUUGUUUUCGCCAUUGGUGAUCAUCGUCGAGGUCUUUGGUCUCUCCCCUACAUCGGCCUCUAUUCCGGAGCCCCAACCACCAAUGAGCGGGCUGAGACCUGAGGACAAAUCGAGUAGAGCACCUCAAUUAGAGGUCUUAUUUUUUGCCUUUUUAUUGGCCGGCCACUUGCUGCCAGUCAUUCCCU
RNAcentral lists this long non-coding RNA (304 nucleotides) under Elaeis guineensis (African oil palm). RNAcentral describes it as "long non-coding RNA (EGUI_LNC012275)". The record is from RNAcentral. Lineage: Eukaryota; Viridiplantae; Streptophyta; Magnoliopsida; Arecales; Arecaceae.